UCACGGGGCCACGGCUACCGCAGGUGAGGGUCAUGGGACCACAGCUACUGCAGGUGAGGGUCACGGGGACCAGGACUACCGCAGGUGAGGGUCACGGGAACCACGGCUACCGUGGGUGAGGGUCACGGGGACCACAGCUACCGCAGGUGAGGGUCACGCUGCCACACCAGACCAGCCGGGCUCUGCAGAGAGACAGAACCAGGGCGACACAGAUGUCCGCAGACAGACACAUAUAUACGUUUAUUUUAAGGAACUGGCCCGCGUGACUCUGGGGACUGUCAGGUCUGAAACCUGCGGCGGCAGUGGGCUGGAAACAUGGGCAGGGGCUGGGGCUGCGUUCCCCGGGCGGCAUUUCUUUCCAGCUCUUGCUUUUAAGGCCUUCCGCUGAUUGGAUGAGGCCUGCCCCACUGACUGGGAUAAUCUCCUUCACUGAAAGCCAAGCGACUGUAAAUGUCAGCCAUAUCUACAAAACACCUUCACAAGGCCGGAUGAGAGCUGCAUUAAUAACCGGGCACUAUAGCCACGCCAAGAAACCCGGACCAAGACUCGAAGCCCUGGUGCUACGUCUUCAAGGCGGGCAGGUACAGCUCAGAGUUCUGCAGCACGCCCGCCUGCUCCAAGCG
Microcebus murinus (gray mouse lemur) is the source of this 623-nucleotide non-coding RNA. The record is from RefSeq and is a predicted model, not a curated record. Lineage: Eukaryota; Metazoa; Chordata; Mammalia; Primates; Cheirogaleidae.